GCCAGGCGUGGUGGUGCACGCCUGUAGUCCCAGCUACUUGGGAGGCUGAGGCAGGAGAAUCGCUUGAACUCAGGAGUCGUAAGCUGCAGUGAGCAGAGAUAGCACCACUGCACUCCAGCCUGGGCAACAGAGCGAGACUCUGUCUCAA
Molecule: unclassified non-coding RNA, 148 nt
Organism: Macaca fascicularis (crab-eating macaque)
Lineage: Eukaryota; Metazoa; Chordata; Mammalia; Primates; Cercopithecidae
Rfam family: Metazoan signal recognition particle RNA
About the family: The signal recognition particle (SRP) is a universally conserved ribonucleoprotein. It is involved in the co-translational targeting of proteins to membranes. The eukaryotic SRP consists of a 300-nucleotide 7S RNA and six proteins: SRPs 72, 68, 54, 19, 14, and 9.
Source: Ensembl